GACGAAUGCUGGCGGCGUGCUUAACACAUGCAAGUCGAACGGAAAGGCCCUGCUUGCAGGGUACUCGAGUGGCGAACGGGUGAGUAACACGUGGGUGAUCUGCCCUGCACUUCGGGAUAAGCCUGGGAAACUGGGUCUAAUACCGGAUAGGAGCCAUUUUUAGUGUGAUGGUUGGAAAGUUUUUUCGGUGUAGGAUGAGCUCGCGGCCUAUCAGCUUGUUGGUGGGGUAAUGGCCUACCAAGGCGGCGACGGGUAGCCGGCCUGAGAGGGUGGACGGCCACAUUGGGACUGAAAUACGGCCCAGACUCCUACGGGAGGCAGCAGUGGGGAAUAUUGCACAAUGGGCGCAAGCCUGAUGCAGCGACGCCGCGUGGGGGAUGACGGCCUUCGGGUUGUAAACUCCUUUCGCUAGGGACGAAGCUUUUGUGACGGUACCUAGAUAAGAAGCACCGGCUAACUACGUG
Molecule: ribosomal RNA, 464 nt
Filed under: uncultured bacterium
Lineage: Bacteria
Description: partial 16S ribosomal RNA
Rfam family: Bacterial small subunit ribosomal RNA
Source: RNAcentral